GAUGAACGCUGGCGGCGUGCCUAAUACAUGCAAGUCGAGCGAACGGACGAGAAGCUUGCUUCUCUGAUGUUAGCGGCGGACGGGUGAGUAACACGUGGAUAACCUAUCUAUAAGACUGGGAUAACUUCGGGAAACCGGAGCUAAUACCGGAUAAUAUUUUGAACCGCAUGGUUCAGAAGUGAAAGACGGUCUUGCUGUCACUUAUAGAUGGAUCCGCGCUGCAUUAGCUAGUUGGUAAGGUAACGGCUUACCAAGGCAACGAUGCAUAGCCGACCUGAGAGGGUGAUCGGCCACACUGGAACUGAGACACGGUCCAGACUCCUACGGGAGGCAGCAGUAGGGAAUCUUCCGCAAUGGGCGAAAGCCUGACGGAGCAACGCCGCGUGAGUGAUGAAGGUCUUCGGAUCGUAAAACUCUGUUAUUAGGGAAGAACAUAUGUGUAAGUAACUGUGCACAUCUUGACGGUACCUAAUCAGAAAGCCACGGCUAACUACGUG
Molecule: ribosomal RNA, 497 nt
Filed under: uncultured bacterium
Lineage: Bacteria
Description: partial 16S ribosomal RNA
Rfam family: Bacterial small subunit ribosomal RNA
Source: RNAcentral